RNAcentral lists this ribosomal RNA (253 nucleotides) under uncultured bacterium. Its description in RNAcentral is "partial 16S ribosomal RNA". It matches the Rfam family "Bacterial small subunit ribosomal RNA", at positions 524 to 776 of the family's 1533-position model. The record is from RNAcentral.
UACGGAGGGUGCAAACGUUGCUCGGAAUCACUGGGCGUAAAGCGCACGUAGGCGGUCCGAUAAGUCGGAUGUGAAAGCCCUGGGCUCAACCUAGGAAGUGCAUUCGAAACUGUCGGACUUGAGUACGGGAGAGGGUUGCGGAAUUCCCGGUGUAGAGGUGAAAUUCGUAGAUAUCGGGAGGAACACCAGUGGCGAAGGCGGCAGCCUGGACCAAUACUGACGCUGAGGUGCGAAAGCGUGGGGAGCAAACAGG